Molecule: ribosomal RNA, 497 nt
Filed under: uncultured bacterium
Lineage: Bacteria
Description: partial 16S ribosomal RNA
Rfam family: Bacterial small subunit ribosomal RNA
Source: RNAcentral
GAUGAACGCUGGCGGCGUGCCUAAUACAUGCGAGUCGAGCGAACAGAUGAGGAGCUUGCUCCUCUGACGUUAGCGGCGGACGGGUGAGUAACACGUGGAUAACCUACCUAUAAGACUGGGAUAACUUCGGGAAACCGGAGCUAAUACCGGAUAAUAUAUUGAACCGCAUGGUUCAAUAGUGAAAGACGGUUUUGCUGUCACUUAUAGAUGGAUCCGCGCCGCAUUAGCUAGUUGGUAAGGUAACGGCUUACCAAGGCAACGAUGCGUAGCCGACCUGAGAGGGUGAUCGGCCACACUGGAACUGAGACACGGUCCAGACUCCUACGGGAGGCAGCAGUAGGGAAUCUUCCGCAAUGGGCGAAAGCCUGACGAAGCAACGCCGCGUGAGUGAUGAAGGUCUUCGGAUCGUAAAACUCUGUUAUUAGGGAAGAACAAAUGUGUAAGUAACUAUGCACGUCUUGACGGUACCUAAUCAGAAAGCCACGGCUAACUACGUG